RNAcentral lists this ribosomal RNA (253 nucleotides) under uncultured bacterium. RNAcentral's name for it is "partial 16S ribosomal RNA". It matches the Rfam family "Archaeal small subunit ribosomal RNA", at positions 474 to 727 of the family's 1478-position model. The record is from RNAcentral.
UACCAGCACCCCGAGUGGUCGGGACGAUUAUUGGGCCUAAAGCAUCCGUAGCCGGUUCUACAAGUCUUCCGUUAAAUCCACCUGCUUAACAGAUGGGCUGCGGAGGAUACUAUAGAGCUAGGAGGCGGGAGAGGCAAGCGGUACUUAGUGGGUAGGGGUAAAAUCCGCUGAUCCAUUGAAGACCACCAGUGGCGAAGGCGGCUUGCCAGAACGCGCUCGACGGUGAGGGAUGAAAGCUGGGGGAGCAAACCGG